GGAUACACUGCCAAUAUUCAACCAGCUUUGUAUCAUAAUGUUGUUGGUAGUCUGUGUAAAUGAACUAUAUUGCACUUCCCUCCACUUUAGCAGUGCCCAGAUAUCCCUACUCACAGGCCAGCAGCAAACCCUCCAAGUGACAUUUUAACACAAAACAAAUUU
Etheostoma cragini (Arkansas darter) is the source of this 162-nucleotide long non-coding RNA. RefSeq lists it as uncharacterized. The transcript has 3 exons. NCBI's taxonomy places the organism in Eukaryota, Metazoa, Chordata, Actinopteri, Perciformes, Percidae. The record is from RefSeq and is a predicted model, not a curated record.